RNAcentral lists this ribosomal RNA (492 nucleotides) under uncultured bacterium. Its description in RNAcentral is "partial 16S ribosomal RNA". It matches the Rfam family "Bacterial small subunit ribosomal RNA", at positions 29 to 507 of the family's 1533-position model. The record is from RNAcentral.
AGUGAACGCUGGCGGUAGGCCUAACACAUGCAAGUCGAACGGCAGCACAGUAAGAGCUUGCUCUUACGGGUGGCGAGUGGCGGACGAGUGAGGAAUACAUCGGAAUCUACUUUUUCGUGGGGGAUAACGUAGGGAAACUUACGCUAAUACCGCAUACGACCUACGGGUGAAAGCAGGGGAUCUUCGGACCUUGCGCGAUUGAAUGAGCCGAUGUCGGAUUAGCUAGUUGGCGGGGUAAAGGCCCACCAAGGCGACGAUCCGUAGCUGGUCUGAGAGGAUGAUCAGCCACACUGGAAUUGAGACACGGUCCAGACUCCUACGGGAGGCAGCAGUGGGGAAUAUUGGACAAUGGGCGCAAGCCUGAUCCAGCCAUACCGAGUGGGUGAAGAAGGCCUUCGGGUUGUAAAGCCCUUUUGUUGGGAAAGAAAAGCAGCAGGUUAAUACCCCGCUGUUCUGACGGUACCCAAAGAAUAAGCACCGGCUAACUUCGUG